GUAGGUGGCAAGCGUUGUCCGGAAUUAUUGGGCGUGAAGCGCGCGCAGGCGGUCCUUUAAGUCUGAUGUGAAAGCCCACGGCUCAACCGUGGAGGGUCAUUGGAAACUGGGGGACUUGAGUACAGAAGAGGAAAGCGGAAUUCCAAGUGUAGCGGUGAAAUGCGUAGAGAUUUGGAGGAACGCCAGUGGCGAAGGCGGCUUUCUGGUCUGUAACUGACGCUGAGGCGCGAAAGCGUGGGGAGCAAACAGGGAUUAGAUACCCUGGUAGUCCACGCCGUAAACGAUGAGUGCUAAGUGUUAGGGGGUUUCCCGCCCCUUAGUGCUGCAGCUAACGCAUUAAGCACUCCGCCUGGGGAGUACGCCGCAAGGCUG
This 372-nucleotide ribosomal RNA is filed under the name uncultured organism. Its description in RNAcentral is "partial 16S ribosomal RNA". It matches the Rfam family "Bacterial small subunit ribosomal RNA", at positions 527 to 896 of the family's 1533-position model. The record is from RNAcentral.